RNAcentral lists this ribosomal RNA (1488 nucleotides) under Phialophora verrucosa. Its description in RNAcentral is "SSU rRNA". It matches the Rfam family "Eukaryotic small subunit ribosomal RNA", at positions 230 to 1606 of the family's 1831-position model. Lineage: Eukaryota; Fungi; Ascomycota; Eurotiomycetes; Chaetothyriales; Herpotrichiellaceae. The record is from RNAcentral.
CCCUCUGGGCUCCUUGGUGAUUCAUAAUAACUUAACGAAUCGCAUGGCCUUGCGCCGGCGAUGGUUCAUUCAAAUUUCUGCCCUAUCAAUUUUCGAUGGUAGAGUAGUGGUCUACCAUGAUCUUAACGGGUAACGGGGAAUUAGGGUUCUAUUCCGGAGAAGGAGCCUGAGAAACGGCUACUACAUCCAAGGAAGGCAGCAGGCGCGCAAAUUACCCAAUGCUAAUUCAGCGAGGUAGUGACAAUAAAUACUGAUACGGGGCUCUUUCGGGUCUCGUAAUUGGAAUGAGUACAAUCUAAAUCCCUUAACGAGGAACAAUUGGAGGGCAAGUCUGGUGCCAGCAGCCGCGGUAAUUCCAGCUCCAAUAGCGUAUAUUAAAGUUGUUGCCGUUAAAAAGCUCGUAGUUGAACCUUGGACCUGGCUGAUCUGUCCUCCUAAUCGAGCGCACGGAUUCGGUCGGGUCUUUCCUUCUGGGGAGCCCUAUGCCCUUCACUGGGUGUAGUGGGGAACCAGGACUUUUACCUUGAAAAAAUUAGAGUGUUCAAAGCAGGCCUUUGCUCGAAUACAUUAGCAUGGAAUAAUAGAAUAGGACAUCGGUUCUAUUUUGUUGGUUUCUAGGACCGCUGUAAUGAUUAAUAGGGAUAGUCGGGGGCGUCAGUAUUCAAUUGUCAGAGGUGAAAUUCUUGGAUUUAUUGAAGACUAACUACUGCGAAAGCAUUCGCCAAGGAUGUUUUCAUUAAUCAGUGAACGAAAGUUAGGGGAUCGAAGACGAUCAGAUACCGUCGUAGUCUUAACCAUAAACUAUGCCGACUAGGGAUCGGACGGUGGUUUUUUUAUGCCCCGUUCGGCACCUUACGAGAAAUCAAAGUUUUUGGGCUCGGGGGGGAGUAUGGUCGCAAGGCUGAAACUUAAAGAAAUUGACGGAAGGGCACCACCAGGCGUGGAGCUGCGGCUUAAUUUGACUCAACACGGGGAAACUCACCAGGUCCAGACAUGCUUAGGAUUGACAGAUUGAUAGCUCUUUCUUGAUUGUAUGGGUGGUGGUGCAUGGCCGUUCUUAGUUGGUGGAGUGAUUUGUCUGCUUAAUUGCGAUAACGAACGAGACCUUGACCUGCUAAAUAGCCAGGUUGACUUUUGUCGGCCGCCGGCUUCUUAGAGGGACUUUUGGCUCAAGCCAAUGGAAGUACGAGGCAAUAACAGGUUAACCUUUGGAGUUACAUUCCAUCACAGGCCUGUAAGAGUGAACCUCGAUAAAAAAUCACUAGUCAAGCAUCAUUCCUCUUGGUGGAAGUUCCACCUAUAGUCGGGAGAGGAGCAGCCGUUCAGCGGUUGUCGAUGCUGGCGAGACAACCUGGUUCAGGGGACGCUUCUCCAUACUCUUCGGUGUGGAUGCCAAUCCUGAGGCGAGCCAAAGUAGCGUUUGGCCGUCGCAACGCGCGCAAAGGUGUCGGCCCUACGCUCGAGAGAGCUGGGGUUUGAGGUACGUGC